This 514-nucleotide ribosomal RNA is filed under the name uncultured bacterium. Its description in RNAcentral is "bacterial SSU rRNA". It matches the Rfam family "Bacterial small subunit ribosomal RNA", at positions 38 to 507 of the family's 1533-position model. The record is from RNAcentral.
GGCGGCGUGGCUAAGGCAUGCAAGUCGAACGGGGCUUCCUGAGUAGCAAUACAAGGGAAGUUCAGUGGCGGACGGGUGAGUAAUGCAUAGGUAACGUGCCUCGAGCUCAGGGAUAGCGGCGCCCGCAAGGGGCUUUAGCGAAAGUGCCGGUAAUACCUGAUGACGUUUUGGAGUCACAUGACUCCUCUACCAAAGGUGGGGACCUUCGGGCCUGCCGACUCGAGAUCGGCCUAUGUCCUAUCAGCUAGUUGGUGGGGUAAAGGCCUACCAAGCCGACGAUCUGUAGCUGGUCUGAGAGGACGACCAGCCACACUGGGACUGAGACACGGCCCAGACUCCUACGGGAGGCAGCAGUGGGGAAUUUUGGACAAUGGGCGCAAGCCUGAUCCAGCCAUGCCGCGUGCGGGAAGAAGGCCUUCGGGUUGUAAACCGCUUUUGUCAGGGAAGAAAUCUUCUGGGUUAAUACCUCGGGAGGAUGACGGUACCUGAAGAAUAAGCACCGGCUAACUACGUG